CGAAAUCGGUAGACGCUACGGACUUAAAAUCCGUCGAACUUUUAAAUCGUGAGGGUUCAAGUCCCUCUAUCCC
Molecule: transfer RNA, 73 nt
Filed under: Collabium formosanum
Lineage: Eukaryota; Viridiplantae; Streptophyta; Magnoliopsida; Asparagales; Orchidaceae
Also listed under: 2 other names
Description: partial tRNA-Leu
Rfam family: tRNA
About the family: Transfer RNA (tRNA) molecules are approximately 80 nucleotides in length.
Source: RNAcentral